UACAGAGACUGCAAGCGUUAUUCGGAUUCACUGGGCGUAAAGGGUGCGCAGGCGGCCAACUAAGUCAGACGUGAAAUCCCUCAGCUUAACUGGGGAACUGCGUCUGAUACUGGAUGGCUUGAGUGUGGGAGAGGAAUGCGGAAUUCCAGGUGUAGCGGUGAAAUGCGUAGAUAUCCGGAGGAACACCGGUGGCGAAGGCGGCAUUCUGGACCAUAACUGACACUGAGAGACGAAAGCCAGGGGAGCAAACGGG
RNAcentral lists this ribosomal RNA (253 nucleotides) under uncultured bacterium. Its description in RNAcentral is "partial 16S ribosomal RNA". It matches the Rfam family "Bacterial small subunit ribosomal RNA", at positions 524 to 776 of the family's 1533-position model. The record is from RNAcentral.